CCUGCCCCUAGAGGCAUUGCAGUUGUGGCAGCAGUGUCACAUGUGUGUCAGUAGGUGGCAGAGAGGAGAGAGGCUGUGUCUAUGCUCAGUGUCCUGACCUGUGAACAGCUGAAUAAUUAGUAACCUAAUAUU
Small nucleolar RNA from Mastomys coucha (southern multimammate mouse), 132 nucleotides. RefSeq annotates it as small nucleolar RNA SNORA17. NCBI's taxonomy places the organism in Eukaryota, Metazoa, Chordata, Mammalia, Rodentia, Muridae. The transcript has a single exon. The record is from RefSeq and is a predicted model, not a curated record.